UGUAAAACUAGAGAAAAGGUUAAAAUUUUUACAGCACAAAGCACAUUCACAAACUUACAAUUUCUGGAGGUGCGAUAUGUUCAGGUCUUGACAUCUUCUUCGUUUUUCUUCAGGUAUGUAAAAAACAAAUAUUAACGUUGAUUUCCAAUUCUCGGCAGGAGCGCUGCUCAUCUUACGCUCAUAUUCUCGUUGCUGCAUUUCGUUAUCUUGAAUAGUGGAGUAGCUGUAAAUUGUAAAGAUGGCUGAAAAGUAAUAAUUGAAACUGGAUAUGAAGUUGGAUAUACUCUUUUUCGAUAAAAAGAUAAUUUU
Molecule: non-coding RNA, 309 nt
Organism: Schizosaccharomyces pombe (fission yeast)
Lineage: Eukaryota; Fungi; Ascomycota; Schizosaccharomycetes; Schizosaccharomycetales; Schizosaccharomycetaceae
Source: the annotation of a GenBank genome assembly